AGUGAACGCUGGCGGUAGGCCUAACACAUGCAAGUCGAACGGCAGCACAGUAAGAGCUUGCUCUUACGGGUGGCGAGUGGCGGGCGGGUGAGGAAUACAUCGGAAUCUACUUUUUCGUGGGGGAUAACGUAGGGAAACUUACGCUAAUACCGCAUACGCCCUACGGGUGAAAGCAGGGGAUCUUCUGACCUUGCGCGAUUGAAUGAGCCGAUGUCGGAUUAGCUAGUUGGCGGGGUAAUGGCCCACCCAGGCGACGAUCCGUAGCUGGUCUGAGAGGAUGAUCAGCCACACUGGAACUGAGACACGGUCCAGACUCCUACGGGAGGCAGCAGUGGGGAAUAUUAGACAAUGGGCGCAAGCCUGAUCCAGCCAUACCGCGUGGGUGAAGAAGGCCUUCGGGUUGUAAAGCCCUUUUGUUGGGAAAGAAAAGCAGCAGGUUAAUACCCCGCUGUUCUGACGGUACCCAAAGAAUAAGCACCGGCUAACUUCGUG
Molecule: ribosomal RNA, 492 nt
Filed under: uncultured bacterium
Lineage: Bacteria
Description: partial 16S ribosomal RNA
Rfam family: Bacterial small subunit ribosomal RNA
Source: RNAcentral